This 228-nucleotide long non-coding RNA is filed under the name Carica papaya (papaya). Its description in RNAcentral is "long non-coding RNA (CPAP_LNC012524)". The record is from RNAcentral. Lineage: Eukaryota; Viridiplantae; Streptophyta; Magnoliopsida; Brassicales; Caricaceae.
UGAGUUUUUCCAUAGAAAUAGGCUAGUUACCAUUUUGUAUUUGGUUGAAAAUUAACAUGGAGUUUGCAGGGAAAAUAUUCCGGCUACUUGUUUGUUUUCUUGCUCUGACAACUCUUCUGUUUCGACAUGCCAUCUCUCUGGCAGGUACAAAAUUAAUCACUCAUUAAUUAAUCAAUAACUACGAUCAAGCUUAAUCAAACCUACCGUACGACGUCGUUAAGUGGUUAA